RNAcentral lists this ribosomal RNA (464 nucleotides) under uncultured bacterium. RNAcentral's name for it is "bacterial SSU rRNA". It matches the Rfam family "Bacterial small subunit ribosomal RNA", at positions 331 to 792 of the family's 1533-position model. The record is from RNAcentral.
CCAGACUCCUACGGGAGGCAGCAGUGAGGAAUAUUGGUCAAUGGACGAGAGUCUGAACCAGCCAAGUAGCGUGAAGGAUGACUGCCCUAUGGGUUGUAAACUUCUUUUAUAAAGGAAUAAAACGAGGCACGUGUGCCUUUUUGCAUGUACUUUAUGAAUAAGGAUCGGCUAACUCCGUGCCAGCAGCCGCGGUAAUACGGAGGAUCCGAGCGUUAUCCGGAUUUAUUGGGUUUAAAGGGAGCGUAGAUGGGUUGUCAAGUCUGUUGUGAAAGUUUGGGGCUCAACCGUAGAAUUGCAAUUGAUACUGGCAGUCUUGAGUACAGUUGAGGUAGGCGGAAUUCGUGGUGUAGCGGUGAAAUGCGUAGAUAUCACGAAGAACUCCGGUUGCGAAGGCGGCUUACUGGACUGCCACUGACGUUGAUGCUCGAAAGUGUGGGGAGCAAACAGGAUUAGAUACCCGAGUA